UGCAGAUGCUCUAAAAUCCUCUCUCUUUUUCUUCUUUCUUUUCUCCAUCUAGUUCUUCCCCAUUUUCAACUUCUCGAACACAAACAAAACACUGUGUCUAAGAACAGCAUCGAGCCCCUAAUUCUCAUGGAAGAUUAUUCGAACUCAAAUAUUUUACCCUCACUUUCGAGGAGUAUUGGAAGUGUUUUGGAGUAAUGACAAUGGCUAGUUCCGGGGAUUUUGUAGAGAUUGUUUCAAAACUUUCAUCAGAUAAAGUUAAAACUCGAGAAGAAGGGAUUAAGCUGUUGAGUAAUUGGUUAGAAGGAGAAAGAUCGUUUGGAUUCUGCAAAAUUCUUAGUCAAAAUACUGCGAAACUCAAACCUAAUGAGAUUCCUCACUCAAAAACUUGGCCAUUCCUUAUAAGGGUUCUCAUUGGAUGUAUUUUCGUCUGAGAUAUCUAUGAGCAAGAAGCGUCAACCAAAGCUGAUUUUUGCUAAAACUCUUCGGAUUGCGAUUCAACAGGCUGAGGAUGCAAAAUUUUCAGGCAAGAUGCAGCUCUUAUUACCCGUUGUCAAGUCACUGUUUAGUCACAUAUGGGAUGUCUUGAGGGAUGUUCCAAGCUACCAGUCUGAAUACGGAAUCAUUCUCCGACAUCUUAUUGCAGUAAAAGAUUAUAGAUUUC
Molecule: long non-coding RNA, 661 nt
Organism: Papaver somniferum (opium poppy)
Lineage: Eukaryota; Viridiplantae; Streptophyta; Magnoliopsida; Ranunculales; Papaveraceae
Exons: 4
Source: RefSeq, a predicted model, not a curated record